Molecule: ribosomal RNA, 460 nt
Filed under: uncultured bacterium
Lineage: Bacteria
Description: partial 16S ribosomal RNA
Rfam family: Bacterial small subunit ribosomal RNA
Source: RNAcentral
CCUACGGGAGGCAGCAGUGAGGAAUAUUGGUCAAUGGCCGGAAGGCUGAACCAGCCAUGCCGCGUGAAGGUCAGUGCCCUAUGGGCGUUAAACUUCUUUUGUGCGGGAGCAAUAAUGGUCACGUGUGGCCAGACGAGAGUACCGUACGAAUAAGCAUCGGCUAACUCCGUGCCAGCAGCCGCGGUAAUACGGGGGAUGCAAGCGUUAUCCGGAUUUAUUGGGUUUAAAGGGUGCGUAGGCUGUGAGGUAAGUCAGCGGUGAAAUGCCCCCGCUCAACGGGGUGAAGUGCCAUUGAUACUGCCUUGCUGGAAUGCGGAUGACGUGGGAGGAAUGUGUGGUGUAGCGGUGAAAUGCAUAGAUAUCACGCAGAACACCGAUUGCGAAGGCAGCUCACGAGUCCGCGAUUGACGCUGAUGCACGAAAGCGUGGGUAUCAAACAGGAUUAGAUACCCCAGUAGUC